RNAcentral lists this non-coding RNA (30 nucleotides) under Mus musculus (house mouse). Lineage: Eukaryota; Metazoa; Chordata; Mammalia; Rodentia; Muridae. The record is from RNAcentral.
UUACAUCUCCACAGAGUUUAGGUACUGCUU